This 1430-nucleotide ribosomal RNA is filed under the name uncultured organism. Its description in RNAcentral is "16S ribosomal RNA". It matches the Rfam family "Bacterial small subunit ribosomal RNA". The record is from RNAcentral.
GCGGCGUGCUUAACACAUGCAAGUCGAACGGAAAGGCCCUGCUUUUGUGGGGUGCUCGAGUGGCGAACGGGUGAGUAACACGUGAGUAACCUGCCCUUGACUUUGGGAUAACUUCAGGAAACUGGGGCUAAUACCGGAUAGGAGCUCCUGCUGCAUGGUGGGGGUUGGAAAGUUUCGGCGGUUGGGGAUGGACUCGCGGCUUAUCAGCUUGUUGGUGGGGUAGUGGCUUACCAAGGCUUUGACGGGUAGCCGGCCUGAGAGGGUGACCGGCCACAUUGGGACUGAGAUACGGCCCAGACUCCUACGGGAGGCAGCAGUGGGGAAUAUUGCACAAUGGGCGGAAGCCUGAUGCAGCAACGCCGCGUGCGGGAUGACGGCCUUCGGGUUGUAAACCGCUUUCGCCUGUGACGAAGCGUGAGUGACGGUAAUGGGUAAAGAAGCACCGGCUAACUACGUGCCAGCAGCCGCGGUGAUACGUAGGGUGCGAGCGUUGUCCGGAUUUAUUGGGCGUAAAGGGCUCGUAGGUGGUUGAUCGCGUCGGAAGUGUAAUCUUGGGGCUUAACCCUGAGCGUGCUUUCGAUACGGGUUGACUUGAGGAAGGUAGGGGAGAAUGGAAUUCCUGGUGGAGCGGUGGAAUGCGCAGAUAUCAGGAGGAACACCAGUGGCGAAGGCGGUUCUCUGGGCCUUUCCUGACGCUGAGGAGCGAAAGCGUGGGGAGCGAACAGGCUUAGAUACCCUGGUAGUCCACGCUGUAAACGGUGGGUACUAGGUGUGGGGUCCAUUCCACGGGUUCCGUGCCGUAGCUAACGCUUUAAGUACCCCGCCUGGGGAGUACGGCCGCAAGGCUAAAACUCAAAGGAAUUGACGGGGCCCCGCACAAGCGGCGGAGCAUGCGGAUUAAUUCGAUGCAACGCGUAGAACCUUACCUGGGUUUGACAUGGAUCGGGAGCGCUCAGAGAUGGGUGUGCCUCUUUUGGGGUCGGUUCACAGGUGGUGCAUGGCUGUCGUCAGCUCGUGUCGUGAGAUGUUGGGUUAAGUCCCGCAACGAGCGCAACCCUUGUUCACUGUUGCCAGCACGUUAUGGUGGGGACUCAGUGGAGACCGCCGGGGUCAACUCGGAGGAAGGUGGGGAUGACGUCAAGUCAUCAUGCCCCUUAUGUCCAGGGCUUCACGCAUGCUACAAUGGCUGGUACAGAGAGUGGCGAGCCUGUGAGGGUGAGCGAAUCUCGGAAAGCCGGUCUCAGUUCGGAUUGGGGUCUGCAACUCGACCUCAUGAAGUCGGAGCCGCUAGUAAUCGCAGAUCAGCAACGCUGCGGUGAAUACGUUCCCGGGGCUUGUACACACCGCCCGUCAAGUCAUGAAAGUUGGUAACACCCGAAGCCGGUGGCCUAACCGUUGUGGGGGAGCCGUCGAAGGUGGGACUGGUGAUU